This 484-nucleotide ribosomal RNA is filed under the name uncultured bacterium. Its description in RNAcentral is "partial 16S ribosomal RNA". It matches the Rfam family "Bacterial small subunit ribosomal RNA", at positions 30 to 507 of the family's 1533-position model. The record is from RNAcentral.
AUUGAACGCUGGCGGCAGGCCUAACACAUGCAAGUCGAGCGGAUGAAGGGAGCUUGCUCCUGGAUUCAGCGGCGGACGGGUGAGUAAUGCCUAGGAAUCUGCCUGGUAGUGGGGGAUAACGUCCGGAAACGGGCGCUAAUAUCGCAUACGUCCUGAGGGAGAAAGAGGGGGAUCUUCGGACCUCACGCUAUCAGAUGAGCCUAGGUGGGAUUAGCUAGUUGGUGGGGUAAAGGCCUACCAAGGCGACGAUCCGUAACUGGUCUGAGAGGAUGAUCAGUCACACUGGAACUGAGAAACGGUCCAGACUCCUACGGGAGGCAGCAGUGGGGAAUAUUGGACAAUGGGCGAAAGCCUGAUCCAGCCAUGCCGCGUGUGUGAAGAAGGUCUUCGGAUUGUAAAGCACUUUAAGUUGGGAGGAAGGGCAGUAAGUUAAUACCUUGCUGUUUUGACGUUACCAACAGAAUAAGCACCGGCUAACUUCGUG